Molecule: ribosomal RNA, 433 nt
Filed under: uncultured bacterium
Lineage: Bacteria
Description: partial 16S ribosomal RNA
Rfam family: Bacterial small subunit ribosomal RNA
Source: RNAcentral
AGCGAACGCUGGCGGCAGGCCUAACACAUGCAAGUCGAACGGAUCCUUCGGGAUUAGUGGCGGACGGGUGAGUAACACGUGGGAACGUGCCCUUUGGUUCGGAACAACUCAGGGAAACUUGAGCUAAUACCGGAUGUGCCCUUCGGGGGAAAGAUUUAUCGCCAUUGGAGCGGCCCGCGUCUGAUUAGCUAGUUGGUGAGGUAACGGCCCACCAAGGCGACGAUUAGUAGCUGGUCUGAGAGGAUGAUCAGCCACACUGGGACUGAGACACGGCCCAGACUCCUACGGGAGGCAGCAGUGGGGAAUCUUGCGCAAUGGGCGAAAGCCUGACGCAGCCAUGCCGCGUGAAUGAUGAAGGUCUUAGGAUUGUAAAAUUCUUUCAGCGGGGACGAUAAUGACGGUACCCGCAGAAGAAGCUCCGGCUAACUUCGUG